UUAGAUGAUCACACUUGAAUCUUAAGGCUUCAAUAUGGCUUCUUGUUCCCUAACUUCUAUCCUGUUUUGGCAGGUCUGUCUUGCUUUCUGCCACUUAUAACCCAAUUAUUUGUUCCCUUUGAGGCCAAAACAGAGAAGGAGAAACAGAAUCCCUGUUAGCUAACAUGAUGUGAAGGGUCAACAAAGCCUCUCUGAGGAAGUGACAUUUGUUUUGAGCCUGAUGAUGUAUAGGAAUGAGUCAAGGGAAGUUCAGGUAAAAAGUGGACCUAUUAGAGGGACAGCAAAGAGAAGCCUGAUUUCUUUAAGGUACAAAGAAAGGAUUGGUGUGGUUUGAAUGCAGGGAGGGGUUGUAUCAGUAAUAUACCUAAUCAUGUAGGGCUUGUGGUUAUGAUUAAAGACUUUGAGCUUGAUUAUUAAAACCAGUGGAAAUCUGCUGAGGGUCAGGAGCAUGAUCACAUUUGAUGAUUUACAAGAUACUUUAGGCUGCUGCAGGAAAGUUUUGGAGUAGGCAAAGCUUAGACGCAGAGGGGCUAGUUGAGGUGGUAUUAUGGUAGUCUAGCAAGAGACAUUGGGGGCUUUCCAAAAUACUGACAAGUCGUGGGGAGCAGAGGAGGAAACACUAGAUUUGGGAUACAUUCGGGGACAGAAUUGUCUUGGCUAGACGAUUGAAAGGGAGCUCGAGAGAGUGGCAGGGAUGAGUCAAGUUUCAUAACUGAGCCCCUGAAGGAAGGGAGGAGUUCUGUUUGGUAAAGGAACAGACUAAGAGAAGGGAGUGCAAGGAGGUGAGUUUCCUUGUGGACAUCAUCUUCCUUUCCAAGUAAUAGGGAGAAUGUCCUAGCAUUUACAUGUCUGGUGACAGCAGCGCUAUUGUGUCACGUAAUUUUCUGACUACACAAAACUGUUUAAAUCCAGUUCAGUUCUAUUUUAAAUCCUUCUCAUCUUACUGAGGACAAAAAGAUACUAUGUUGACAUUCUGGAUUUUGCUAUCUUUUCAAGAUAGUAAAGACGUAUUGUAAUGAGGUUUAAUAAGCAUCUUCACUCUGUGUGAACUCUGACAGGGAGAAGUUUGACACGUUUCAUUUGUCUGGGCUCCAGCGGUGCCAUCGCUGAGUGCAGUGAGGGAAUCUGCAACACUACAGCUGUGCUAGCGUCUGUACCAUUGUGUCGGAGUCCUUAGGAGGCCUUCCUCUUCUGUUGGAGCUUUUUAGCUUCAGGUAACUUUGGACUGACUUUCCCCAAGAGCAAAUUAUUAGAAAUUGAAUAAAAACGUUUCCACUGGGUUUUGCCUGCAAGAAAAAAAUGUACCCGAGCCCAUAGAGCUUUUUAAUAAUAGCACUAAACAAUGCCUUUUUAGAUGUAUUUUUGAUGUAUAUAUCUAUUAUUAAAAAAUGAUGUUUAUUUUGAGUCCUAGGACCUAAAAUUAGUGUUUUGUAAUAUCAAGAAGGACCUUUAAAAUGAAGCUGAGCUUUUCAUGCAGGGUGCAAUCUACUGGAAAUGUAGCACUUAUGUGAAAUAUUUGUUUCCCCCACAGUUUUAAUAUAAACAAAAUGAAUACCAAAUAAAUUUCCCACUGAAAGAUUAUUGUGACUUCACUGUAUAUAAACAGAUUUUUAUACUUUAUUGAAAGGGGACACCUGUACAUUCUUCCAUCAUCACUGUAAAGAAAAAUAAAUGAUUAUAUUCACAGACUGAUUGGAACUUUUUCUGUUAAAGAGCACACACAAUAAGUAAGGACGAAAGUAGCCCCUUCUUAAUAUUCCUGAUACACAUUUCACUUUGAUCCUUGGGCCUUAGCUUUGAAACAGAGGUGGUGGAAAGUAAUUCAUGCACUUGCUGUGUGCCUCCAGACAUGUUGAGAAUUGUGCUUUCACCGGAAGUUUACAUUGUCAUCUAGCAUGUGACUAAUACUUUUGACAGUUCUGUUUUUAAAAAAGACUUUUUCUUUCUUUCCACAUGAGUUAGGUACACAGGUACACUUUAGGUAUUACUUGAAGUUCAUGUUGUUUUUGCUAAAACGGUUUUCACUUUAACUAACAUCCAGCAGUUUACUAAGUUCACAGGUGCAGGUCAGACUCUUACCACAGUGAGAGGCAGCUCCUAGGCAGAGUUGCUUAAAGAGCCAGACUGUGGUACUUUACUAAUCAGUAUCCAGCCUCUAAAGUAUUAACAUUUUUCUUUCUUUCUUUCUUUUUUUUUUUUUUUUUUUUGUACCGGGGAUCGAACUAGGGACCUUGCACUUGUGAGGCGGGCACUGGAACCACUGAGCUAAAUCCCCGGCCCUAACAUUUUUAUUUCUGUUGAAACUCAUAUGCCUAACUUCUAUUACCACUUAAAUUUCUUUUUUCUUGGUUAAAUUUCAUGAUGUCUAAUUACAUAAGCUGGCAUUGCUUUAUUCAUUAAUUUUAAAAUCUAAACAUAAUUCAAGGAAGGAGGAGUGGCUAUAAUUAAAGCAAAAUUUGAGAAAUGCAGCAAAAACUGAUGUCGUUCUACAGGAAUAGUUUAUGUACUUCUUUCUUAUUUCAUUUUAAAUUAGACCUGAUAGAGCACUUAUUAGCAUGGCCCCAGGUUCAAUCCUCAACAUGACAAUAAACAAGUAAAUAAAUAAAAAUAAAAUUAGACCACAUCUGAUGUGGUCAACGAUGUGACCAAUUCUGUAUCACUGUCACUGUACAUUUUAUUAUCAGUACCUCUAGCUUCCUUUAAUUCUCAAAGGGAAAGAGGAAGAGGAGGUUAGUUAAAGCAAUAUGACUGGCUAAAUUUGGGGCAUUGUGUUUCUGGACCUUUAUUGUCAAACUAUGUAAAUACUUCUUGUAAUUCCUGGUUUAUAUUCCAGUUUGAUCCCCAGACCAUAGGAUACAAAUUUCCUUGGAACAGCUGUGCUGGUGGAUGAGUCUCUGGGAGGACAGUUGGUAGAUGGUCCUUGGUUUGGGUCCAUCAGUGUCCUAAGUGGGGUGGGUGGAGAGUUAAUAUCAAUUUCUUUUUAAGAGCUAGUAUGACUAAUUAGAAGGAUAGCCAAAGGUUUUUCUCCUCCUCCCCCUUGAAGUCCAUGAGUCUCUAUUUGCAAUCAAGCUGGGGUAGUUUCACCUUGAUGAUCAUAUAUUCUUUUUACAAUGCAAGCCAACCAAGAUACCUGUGUUUUUUCUGAACAGAUUUGUAAAAGUAAAAACACAGUGUACAUACUAUAAAACUUUUUCUUAUAUACUUUGCUCAGGUAGAGAACAAGAUCUGAAAACUUAAAUGAUAUCCUACUGGGGACCAUUCUAUAAUAAGUCCAGGAGGUUCCCAAUAUGUGGACAGGACUUGUCCAAAAUCAAGUUCAUCAUCUCAUCCCCACAAACUUACCACCAUCGUGCAUUUCCCAAUUUGAGUAAAAGCAAAGCAGAAGUAGCUCAGGAGUGAUCCUGCAUGUCCUCCCUUUUUUUUCCUUGUGACAUUUGUCAAUCCUUUUAGAACUACUGUAUUAACUCCACUUUUUACAUGCACGCCACAUCCCUUGUCCGUCCCAUUGUUAUGGAAACCUUCCCUCUCCUCUAGACUUCCAGUGGCUUCCUUUAUUUCGCCUGUUCACUGUCUCUUUCUUUUAUCUCCUCCAUGUAGUCAUCAGAGUGAUUCUCAAAAUAGGGCAAAGUGGUUGAAUACUUUUCCUGCUCAAAAUUCCUCAGUAGUAGGAAUGGAGUAGUUUAGAGUUAUUUUUAAGAGCAAGCACUUUGAGAUUAGGAGAACCUGUGUCUGAAUCCUAGUUUUGCCAUUUGUGUGACUUAUCUGGUUACUUAAUCUUUGAUCCUGUUCCUCCUCAGUGAAAUAAGAAUAAUACCUACCUCAUAAGAGUUGUUGUGGGGAUUCAGUGAGAUACUGUCUAUAACGUGUUUAGCACAGUGCCUGGUGUGUAGUGUGUGUACACAGAACAUUAUUGUUAUCCCCAGGUGUCAGUUUUAUGUCACUUCCAAGAGACACUUUUUGAUAACCCUGACUAUCCCUACCCUAACACUAUAUUUUCAGUA
This 4001-nucleotide long non-coding RNA is filed under the name Heterocephalus glaber (naked mole-rat). RNAcentral describes it as "lncRNA (ENSHGLG00100051295.1)". Lineage: Eukaryota; Metazoa; Chordata; Mammalia; Rodentia; Bathyergidae. The record is from RNAcentral.